This 75-nucleotide transfer RNA is filed under the name uncultured archaeon. Its description in RNAcentral is "tRNA-Pro(cgg)". It matches the Rfam family "tRNA". From Rfam's summary of the family: Transfer RNA (tRNA) molecules are approximately 80 nucleotides in length. The record is from RNAcentral.
UGGGAUCGUGAGCUAACCUGGUAUGCUGCAAGCUUCGGGAGUUUGUUAUCUGAGUUCAAAUCUCAGCGAUCCCAU